UACGUAGGCAGCAAGCGUUGUUCGGAGUUACUGGGCGUAAAGGGUGCGUAGGCGGCUUUUUAAGUUUGGUGUGAAAUCUCCCGGCUCAACUGGGAGGGUGCGCCGAAUACUGAGAGGCUAGAGUGUGGGAGAGGAAAGUGGAAUUCCUGGUGUAGUGGUGAAAUACGUAGAUAUCAGGAGGAAUACCGGUGGCGAAGGCGGCAUCUG
Molecule: ribosomal RNA, 207 nt
Filed under: uncultured bacterium
Lineage: Bacteria
Description: partial 16S ribosomal RNA
Rfam family: Bacterial small subunit ribosomal RNA
Source: RNAcentral